RNAcentral lists this long non-coding RNA (325 nucleotides) under Mytilus galloprovincialis (Mediterranean mussel). Lineage: Eukaryota; Metazoa; Mollusca; Bivalvia; Mytilida; Mytilidae. The record is from RNAcentral.
UGUAAAAUAAGUUAGAUUUAUGGUGUAAAGAGAGUCAUAAAACUUAUAUUUUUAGAAUUAUGAUGAAAUUUGAUCACCAUAAUGACAUAAAUUUAACAAAACACAAGCACGUUCAUAAAACAUUUUUUUCAUAUUCUCACUUCUACCUGGUAUUCCCAUUUGAAGACUGAUAUGAUACAUAAUACUAUCAAGUGACCACAAAAGUAGUAGAAAACAUAACUGUUUUUCUAGUCAGAAAUGGAGAAAUAGAUACUAAAGGAAAAAUAGCAACUACAAAUCAAAGAAAGACCGACCAAGAUAGUCAAAAGAAAAAGAGAAACACAAA